Molecule: long non-coding RNA, 885 nt
Filed under: Homo sapiens (human)
Lineage: Eukaryota; Metazoa; Chordata; Mammalia; Primates; Hominidae
Description: HSALNT0256169
Source: RNAcentral
GCCGCCGCAGCCGCUGGGCGAACUCAAGCGCUUCUUCGAGGCCGCGGCGGGGAGCGGCUCCUCGGCGGGGGCGGGGGACGGCGCGGGCCCGCAGAGGCUGCCAGAGCCUGGGGGACGGCCGCGCUCGGCCGUGCAGGGCGGGUGCCGGGUGCUGGGCAGCGCCCCGCCGCCUUUCACUCCGUCACUGCUGGAGCAGGAGGUGCGCGCCGUGCGCGAGCGCGAGCAGGAACUGCAGCGCCAGCGGCGCAGCGUCUAUGGCACCGCGGAGUUCAAGGAGCCUACGCCGAGCCUCACCGCGAGCAGGGGCGACGGAAAGUUGGUGGUGAUCUGGCCCCCCCGCAGAAAGGUCUCGGAGAACGGCCUGGAGCAGGUGGGAGCCCCCUUACCCGUGUGCCUCUAGCGCUUGUCGGUCCCCCCACCCCUCCGGUGCCAGGACGCUUGGUGGGGAAAAGUGCAUCCUCCCUGGAGGGCCACUCUGGUCAGAACUCAGUCUGGGACGCAUCCCCGGGGUGAAGAGGAGACGGUGGUCUUGAGGCCCAAACCGCCACCCCGAGCCUGGAUGCAGUGCGCAGGUCCCUGAGGCCGGCCUUCCUUCUGGUCCUCUGUCCCCAGGAGGAGCGCAAACCUUGAGGUUUGAAAAGGCUGGGACCCCCGGCCGGAAGUAACGUACGCGUCAGAGGAACAGGGCGGGGGGCGUCUAGCAUUAGGCCUGGAGAAGGGUCGGCUCUCUGCAUUGGGGAAGAUGAAAUCGACUUGCCUUUGUGAAAUUGACCAGCCCCCUCUAUAAAACUUACAGUCCCCCAUUGGGAAACUGACCACCACCCACAACUCCGCCAGUGAAACUGCCCAGCCCUUCUCUGCCUAAUUGCAAACUGAACUACCCUC